CCUACGGGAGGCAGCAGUGGGGAAUAUUGGACAAUGGGCGGAAGCCUGAUCCAGCAACGCCGCGUGAGGGAUGACGGCCUUCGGGUUGUAAACCUCUUUCAGCGGGGGCGAAGUUUUGUCUUUUUGGGCGAAGUGACGGUACCCGCAGAAGAAGCACCGGCUAACUCCGUGCCAGCAGCCGCGGUAAU
This 188-nucleotide ribosomal RNA is filed under the name uncultured Nocardioides sp. RNAcentral describes it as "partial 16S ribosomal RNA". It matches the Rfam family "Bacterial small subunit ribosomal RNA", at positions 338 to 524 of the family's 1533-position model. The record is from RNAcentral. Lineage: Bacteria; Bacillati; Actinomycetota; Actinomycetes; Propionibacteriales; Nocardioidaceae.